UGGGGAAUUUUGGACAAUGGGCGAAAGCCUGAUCCAGCAAUGCCGCGUGUGUGAAGAAGGCCUUCGGGUUGUAAAGCACUUUUGUCCGGAAAGAAAUCCUUGGCUCUAAUACAGUCGGGGGAUGACGGUACCGGAAGAAUAAGCACCGGCUAACUACGUGCCAGCAGCCGCGGUAAUACGUAGGGUGCAAGCGUUAAUCGGAAUUACUGGGCGUAAAGCGUGCGCAGGCGGUUUGCUAAGACCGAUGUGAAAUCCCCGGGCUCAACCUGGGAACUGCAUUGGUGACUGGCAGGCUAGAGUAUGGCAGAGGGGGGUAGAAUUCCACGUGUAGCAGUGAAAUGCGUAGAGAUGUGGAGGAAUACCGAUGGCGAAGGCAGCCCCCUGGGCCAAUACUGACGCUCAUGCACGAAAGCGUGGGGAGCAAACAGGAUUAGAUACCCUGGUAGUCCACGCCCUAAACGAUGUCAACUAGUUGUUGGGGACUUCAUUUUCCUUAGUAACGUAGCUAACGCGUGAAGUUGACCGCCUGGGGAGUACGGUCGCAAGAUUAAAACUCAAAUGAAUUGACGGGGUCAUAGCU
Molecule: ribosomal RNA, 580 nt
Filed under: uncultured bacterium
Lineage: Bacteria
Description: partial 16S ribosomal RNA
Rfam family: Bacterial small subunit ribosomal RNA
Source: RNAcentral